GCGGGGCCCGCGGCUGCGAUUGGCUGGCGGACCCACCAUAGAGCGUGGCGGCUAGAGAGGACGCGGAGGGCUGGCUUCGCAUGCGCAGACGGAAGGCUGCGGGCCUGGGCGCCAUCUUCGGUGCUGGCCGGGAGGUCUCGCCUUCGCAGAUGUCGGCUGCAGCAGCAGCCCGCGCCAUGUUAAGUCAGGGCAAAAGAGCCGAGCAGUUCGCCCAGGGAGCACCUACAGGAAUUCUCGAAGCCGCUUAGGAAGCACGGAAAGGCGCGCGAGAUCCAGCAGUCCGGAUGCCCGGGAGGAAGAGUCACGUUAAGGCGGGAGGGCUCUUGUUGCUCCAGCUUCAAAACUGCAUCAGGUUUGGUAAUUUCAUGACCUGUUAGUUGGAAACACAGAGGACUUGGACACAGUUGCUUGAGCUAAGGGACUCUUAAAUGUGAAUAAUGUUUUACUGCAGAGGCUACAAA
Long non-coding RNA from Pipistrellus kuhlii (Kuhl's pipistrelle), 461 nucleotides. RefSeq lists it as uncharacterized. The record is from RefSeq and is a predicted model, not a curated record. Lineage: Eukaryota; Metazoa; Chordata; Mammalia; Chiroptera; Vespertilionidae. The transcript is spliced from 2 exons.